GGCUCGUUGGUCUAGGGGUAUGAUUCUCGCUUUGGUGUGAGACGUCCGAGUUCAAAUCUCAGACGAGCCC
Molecule: transfer RNA, 70 nt
Filed under: Perca fluviatilis (European perch)
Lineage: Eukaryota; Metazoa; Chordata; Actinopteri; Perciformes; Percidae
Description: tRNA-OTHER
Source: RNAcentral